AGAGUUUGAUCAUGGCUCAGGACGAACGCUGGCGGCGUGCCUAAUACAUGCAAGUAGAACGCUGACUACUUUAGCUUGCUAGAGUAGAAGGAGUUGCGAACGGGUGAGUAACGCGUAGGUAACCUGCCUACUAGCGGGGGAUAACUAUUGGAAACGAUAGCUAAUACCGCAUAACAGUGUUUAACACAUGUUAGAUGCUUGAAAGAUGCAAAUGCAUCACUAGUAGAUGGACCUGCGUUGUAUUAGCUAGUUGGUGGGGUAACGGCCUACCAAGGCGACGAUACAUAGCCGACCUGAGAGGGUGAUCGGCCACACUGGGACUGAGACACGGCCCAGACUCCUACGGGAGGCAGCAGUAGGGAAUCUUCGGCAAUGGGGGCAACCCUGACCGAGCAACGCCGCGUGAGUGAAGAAGGUUUUCGGAUCGUAAAGCUCUGUUGUAAGAGAAGAACGUGUGUGAGAGUGGAAAGUUCACACAGUGACGGUAACUUACCAGAAAGGGACGGCUAACUACGUGCCAGCAGCCGCGGUAAUACGUAGGUCCCGAGCGUUGUCCGGAUUUAUUGGGCGUAAAGCGAGCGCAGGCGGUUUAAUAAGUCUGAAGUUAAAGGCAGUGGCUUAACCAUUGUUCGCUUUGGAAACUGUUAAACUUGAGUGCAGAAGGGGAGAGUGGAAUUCCAUGUGUAGCGGUGAAAUGCGUAGAUAUAUGGAGGAACACCGGUGGCGAAAGCGGCUCUCUGGUCUGUAACUGACGCUGAGGCUCGAAAGCGUGGGGAGCAAACAGGAUUAGAUACCCUGGUAGUCCACGCCGUAAACGAUGAGUGCUGGGUGUUAGGCCCUUUCCGGGGCUUAGUGCCGCAGCUCACGCAUUAAGCACUCCGCCUGGGGA
RNAcentral lists this ribosomal RNA (889 nucleotides) under uncultured bacterium. RNAcentral's name for it is "bacterial SSU rRNA". It matches the Rfam family "Bacterial small subunit ribosomal RNA", at positions 8 to 879 of the family's 1533-position model. The record is from RNAcentral.